CAUCCUAUUCCCUUCUAUUCUCAUAAUGCCAUCUCAUGUGUCCAACCGACCUGUUCGAGGUUCAAAGCCUCUUAAGUCUAGAGAUGAGUGGCACAUAAUGCAUCUUCUUGUAAGAUACUUGUAUAUGAUUCUCACCUUCUAUCCUACCUAGUUUGUAUUGAGAAUAACCACAAAACUUGCAAUCAAUUAAAGACUCAUCAUCCUUGUAAUACAAUAUACACCC
Molecule: long non-coding RNA, 223 nt
Filed under: Elaeis guineensis (African oil palm)
Lineage: Eukaryota; Viridiplantae; Streptophyta; Magnoliopsida; Arecales; Arecaceae
Description: long non-coding RNA (EGUI_LNC020839)
Source: RNAcentral